GGGAGACAGAAGUGGGGGAGGGGGCGGGUUCUGGGGUCGAGCCCACAACCAACACCAGGCCCCAGUCUCUGUGACCUCAGCGCCCACUGUGAGUUCACAGAGGAAGCCGGCAGUGUCGUCGGCAACAGAGACCCCCCCCCCACCCCACCCCACCCCACCCCCCCAAGAAACCUCGAGUGAGGAACCGCCCCCCCCCCAAUCCACCUGCCCUGUGCCUCAGUGUGGGACGCCGGUGUGCUGAGGGGGUGGAGGGAGGGCGAUAUUUCAGGACGGAGGCGUUCGGAGCCACCGCGCAGUCCCGCCAUGUUCCGGUGGAUCUGCCUCACCCUCGCGCUCCUCUGGGCCUCGGCGGCUGAACUCGACUUUGUCCAGGUCUUCGACAUCCUGAUCGCGUCCGAGGACGGCAGCUCCCCUCCGCGCCCGGAGAUCCUGUUCCUCAAUGCCUCGGGCAUCGUGCUGGCACGGGCCGGGGACCCCGUCACCCUGUACUGCCGCGUCCUGCUGGUGGGCGACGGGCCCGACCCCAGGUACCGGGUGCGGUGGGUCACCGGCCCGCUCGGCGAGGUCACCGUGGCCCGGGUGGACCAGAGGCGGGCGCGAGGACCCUGGGUCCACCCCCGGUACCGGGACCGGGUCAGCCUGCUCUCCCAGGGUCCCGAGAACCACCUCCACUUCAGCAGGGUGGACCCUGGCGACUUCGGGGAGUAUACCUGCCGGGGGGAGAUCGCCGGGCACGGGGGGCAGUUAUUCUCCUCCAUCUCCCUGCUGGCUGAAGAUGUGUCUCCAGCAGUGCCAGUGAGCCCCCCAAGAUCUGCCCCCCAGCUCCCACCAGGCUCCGCCCCCUCUCUCCCCCCAGGCUCCGCCCCCCAGCUCCCCCUGGGCUCCGCCUCCCCUCUCCCACUGGGCUCCGCCCCCCAGCUCCCCCUGGUCUCCGAACCCCAGCUCCCCCCAGGCUCCGCCCCCUCCUCCCUCCAAGACUCCGCCCCCCAGCUCUCACCAGGCUCCACCCCCUCCCUCCCAGGCUCCGCCCCCUCACCACCUCCGGGCUCCUCCCCCUCCCUCCCGGGCUCUGCCCCUCAGUACCCCGGCCCCGCCCACCAGCCCCACAUCGUGGCCCUUGACACCUCGGCCGUGGUGCGCGCUCCGCUGGGCUCCGCGGUCUCCCUGCACUGCCGGGUGCGCGCCCUGCACGCGGGCCCCGGCACGCGGUACCGGCUGCGCUGGGAGGCACUGGGGCCGGGGGGUGUCCUGACCCUGGCCCAGCAGGACCAGGCCAGCCCGGAGCCCCCCCGCCUGCACCCCUCCUACAGCGAGCGCCUCGCCGUGAGCUCCCGCGGGCCCAACACCCAGCUCCGCCUCCGCGCCCUGCACCCCGACGACCCCGGGGAGUAUCGGUGCACGGCCGGCGUCUCCGGGCAGGACGAGGAGGUCAGCUCGGGGCCCAUUCACCUGGUCAAGGGUAAGUGCUGCACUGGGCGGCGGUGUGUUGGGGCGUGUGGAGUGUGUGUGUGUGUGUUUGUAUCUGCUCAGUGUAUCUGUAGUCACUCUGCAUUGGGUGGGGCACAGAGGCGGUGGGUGUCCCCGACAUGGGGACUGGGAGCCCCCACCCCCUACACCCCCAUCUCCGGGUGUCCCCACUGGAGGAGCACCAAACGCAGGGGAGGAAGAUCCUGGUAACUGUCCCCGGCCACACGCAGGGCACUCCCUCCCCAGGGGAGAUCAACCAGACUCCCUGCCUCCCCUGACGAAUCCAGGGCUGGCGGGGGCCCAGGUCGGCGGGGCGGGAAGAGCGGCUGCCUCAACAACCCCCGGUUCGAUCCCCGUCUCCGACGCGGUGCGCUGGGAUUUUCGGUAGAGGAGCCCUCGGGGGGAGUCGGAGGGCUGGGAUGGACGAUCAGGGACUGAUGCCCGACCCUGUCUUCUGUGCCCACAGAGAGGCAGAAAAUGAUGCCUGUUUCGUCCAAGACAGCCAUCCUCUGGCUCAUUCUCCACUUCCUCGUGGUGAUCUUCGCCAUGGCGAUUGGCGUUGGAUCCUGCUUCCUGACUGGAAGAAAGAAUCGAAUACAGGCCGAGAAUGUCUG
RNA transcript from Pristis pectinata (smalltooth sawfish), 2081 nucleotides. RefSeq lists it as uncharacterized. The transcript has 4 exons. NCBI's taxonomy places the organism in Eukaryota, Metazoa, Chordata, Chondrichthyes, Rhinopristiformes, Pristidae. The record is from RefSeq and is a predicted model, not a curated record.